UAAUACGGAGGGUGCAAGCGUUAUCCGGAUUCACUGGGUUUAAAGGGUGCGUAGGUGGGCAGGUAAGUCAGUGGUGAAAUCCUUGAGCUUAACUCGAGAACUGCCAUUGAUACUAUCUGUCUUGAAUGUUGUGGAGGUGAGCGGAAUAUGUCAUGUAGCGGUGAAAUGCUUAGAUAUGACAUAGAACAUCUAUUGCGAAGGCAGCUCACUACGCAAAUAUUGACACUGAGGCACGAAAGCGUGGGGAUCAAACAGGAUUAGAUACCCUGGUAGUCCACGCCCUAAACGAUGAUUACUCGACAUACGCGAUACACAGUGUGUGUCUGAGCGAAAGCAUUAAGUAAUCCACCUGGGAAGUACGACCGCAAGGUUG
This 373-nucleotide ribosomal RNA is filed under the name uncultured bacterium. RNAcentral describes it as "bacterial SSU rRNA". It matches the Rfam family "Bacterial small subunit ribosomal RNA", at positions 521 to 896 of the family's 1533-position model. The record is from RNAcentral.